AGCGAACGCUGGCGGCAGGCCUAACACAUGCAAGUCGAACGAACUCUUCGGAGUUAGUGGCGGACGGGUGAGUAACACGUGGGAACGUGCCUUUAGGUUCGGAAUAACUCAGGGAAACUUGUGCUAAUACCGACUGUGCCCUUCGGGGGUAAGAUUUAUCGCCUUUAGAGCGGCCCGCGUCUGAUUAGCUAGUUGGUGAGGUAAAGGCUCACCAAGGCGACGAUCAGUAGCUGGUCUGAGAGGAUGAUCAGCCACAUUGGGACUGAGACACGGCCCAACCUCCUACGGGAGGCAGCAGUGGGGAAUCUUGCGCAAUGGGCGAAAGCCUGACGCAGCCAUGCCGCGUGAAUGAUGAAGGUCUUAGGAUUGUAAAAUUCUUUCACCGGGGACGAUAAUGACGGUACCCGGAGAAGAAGCCCCGGCUAACUUCGUG
RNAcentral lists this ribosomal RNA (433 nucleotides) under uncultured bacterium. RNAcentral describes it as "partial 16S ribosomal RNA". It matches the Rfam family "Bacterial small subunit ribosomal RNA", at positions 29 to 507 of the family's 1533-position model. The record is from RNAcentral.